This 468-nucleotide ribosomal RNA is filed under the name uncultured bacterium. RNAcentral's name for it is "partial 16S ribosomal RNA". It matches the Rfam family "Bacterial small subunit ribosomal RNA", at positions 28 to 507 of the family's 1533-position model. The record is from RNAcentral.
GACGAACGCUGGCGGCGUGCUUAACACAUGCAAGUCGAACGGAAAGGCCCUGCUUUUGUGGGGUUCUCGAGUGGCGAACGGGUGAGUAACACGUGAGUAACCUGCCCUUGUCUUUGGGAUAACUCCAGGAAACUGGGGCUAAUACCGGAUAGGAGCUCCUGCUGCAUGGUGGUGGUUGGAAAGUUUCGGCGGUUGGGGAUGGAUUCGCGGCUUAUCAGCUUGUUGGUGGGGUAGUGGUUUACCAAGGCUUUGACGGGUAGCCGGCCUGGGAGGGUGAACGGCGACAAUGGGACUGAGGGACGGACCAGAAUGCUACGGGAGGCAGCAGUGGGGAAUAUUGCGGAAUGGGGGGGAGCCUGAUGCGGCAGCGCCGCGUGCGGGAAGACGGCCUUCGGGUUGUGAACAGAUUUCGACUGUGACGAGGCGUGAGUGACGGUAAUGGGUAAAGAAGCACCGGCUAACUACGUG